ACCGAUUGCGACCUGCAGGUCGUGAGAGGAGGUGAUAGUCGUGAGUUACUUAUUCGAGCUCUUCCUCAAUGUUAUGGCAAAUGUACUGGCAUAUUUCAUUUGCAAAUGGCUGGACGAUGAGGAUAAACGGUAGUCAGCCUAGAAACACUCGUUAAUCUGAAAAGAACGUAAAAAAAGCCCUAAAGGACUGGCAUCCUCUAGGGCUUUGGUGU
RNAcentral lists this small RNA (212 nucleotides) under Streptococcus mitis. RNAcentral describes it as "Streptococcus sRNA SpF66". It matches the Rfam family "Streptococcus sRNA SpF66". The record is from RNAcentral. Lineage: Bacteria; Bacillati; Bacillota; Bacilli; Lactobacillales; Streptococcaceae.